CAAUAGCUCAACUGGAUAGAGUAUCAGACUUCGAAUCUGAGGGUUGCGGGUUCAAUUCCUGCUUG
Molecule: transfer RNA, 65 nt
Filed under: human gut metagenome
Rfam family: tRNA
About the family: Transfer RNA (tRNA) molecules are approximately 80 nucleotides in length. Their secondary structure includes four short double-helical elements and three loops (D, anti-codon, and T loops). Further hydrogen bonds mediate the characteristic L-shaped molecular structure. tRNAs have two regions of fundamental functional importance: the anti-codon, which is responsible for specific mRNA codon recognition, and the 3' end, to which the tRNAs corresponding amino acid is attached (by aminoacyl-tRNA synthetases). tRNAs cope with the degeneracy of the genetic code in two manners: having more than one tRNA (with a specific anti-codon) for a particular amino acid; and 'wobble' base-pairing, i.e. permitting non-standard base-pairing at the 3rd anti-codon position.
Source: RNAcentral